This 180-nucleotide ribosomal RNA is filed under the name uncultured bacterium. RNAcentral describes it as "partial 16S ribosomal RNA". It matches the Rfam family "Bacterial small subunit ribosomal RNA", at positions 1319 to 1500 of the family's 1533-position model. The record is from RNAcentral.
CAUGAAGCUGGAAUCGCUAGUAAUCGCGGAUCAGCAUGCCGCGGUGAAUACGUUCUCGGGCCUUGUACACACCGCCCGUCACACCAUGGGAGUCGGUAACACCCGAAGUCUGUAGCCUGACGCAAGAGGGCGCAGCCGAAGGUGGGAUUGAUGACUGGGGUGAAGUCGUAACAAGGUACC